This 76-nucleotide transfer RNA is filed under the name Candidatus Hydrogenedentota bacterium. Its description in RNAcentral is "tRNA-Gln". It matches the Rfam family "tRNA". From Rfam's summary of the family: Transfer RNA (tRNA) molecules are approximately 80 nucleotides in length. Their secondary structure includes four short double-helical elements and three loops (D, anti-codon, and T loops). Further hydrogen bonds mediate the characteristic L-shaped molecular structure. tRNAs have two regions of fundamental functional importance: the anti-codon, which is responsible for specific mRNA codon recognition, and the 3' end, to which the tRNAs corresponding amino acid is attached (by aminoacyl-tRNA synthetases). tRNAs cope with the degeneracy of the genetic code in two manners: having more than one tRNA (with a specific anti-codon) for a particular amino acid; and 'wobble' base-pairing, i.e. permitting non-standard base-pairing at the 3rd anti-codon position. Lineage: Bacteria; Pseudomonadati; Candidatus Hydrogenedentota. The record is from RNAcentral.
UGGGGCGUCGCCAAGUCGGUAAGGCACCGGGUUUUGGUCCCGGCAUUCGGAGGUUCGAAUCCUUCCGCCCCAGCCA